GGAUCCGUGGUGCAAUGGUAGCGUGUCUGAUUCUAGAUCAUAAGGUUGCAUGUUCGAUUCACAUCGGGUCCA
This 72-nucleotide transfer RNA is filed under the name Capsicum annuum. It matches the Rfam family "tRNA". From Rfam's summary of the family: Transfer RNA (tRNA) molecules are approximately 80 nucleotides in length. Their secondary structure includes four short double-helical elements and three loops (D, anti-codon, and T loops). The record is from Rfam by way of RNAcentral. Lineage: Eukaryota; Viridiplantae; Streptophyta; Magnoliopsida; Solanales; Solanaceae.